Molecule: ribosomal RNA, 375 nt
Filed under: uncultured bacterium
Lineage: Bacteria
Description: bacterial SSU rRNA
Rfam family: Bacterial small subunit ribosomal RNA
Source: RNAcentral
UAAUACAGAGGGUGCAAGCGUUAAUCGGAAUUACUGGGCGUAAAGCGCGCGUAGGUGGAUAUUUAAGUCGGAUGUGAAAGCCCCGGGCUUAACCUGGGAAUUGCAUUCGAUACUGAAUAUCUAGAGUAUAGUAGAGGGAAGUGGAAUUUCCGGUGUAGCGGUGAAAUGCGUAGAUAUCGGAAGGAACACCAGUGGCGAAGGCGGCUUCCUGGACUAAUACUGACACUGAGGCGCGAAAGCGUGGGGAGCAAACAGGAUUAGAUACCCUGGUAGUCCACGCCGUCAACGAUGAGAACUAGCUGUUGGGAGGGUUGCCUCUUAGUAGCGAAGCUAACGCGUUAAGUUCUCCGCCUGGGGAGUACGGCCGCAAGGUUA